This 253-nucleotide ribosomal RNA is filed under the name uncultured bacterium. Its description in RNAcentral is "partial 16S ribosomal RNA". It matches the Rfam family "Bacterial small subunit ribosomal RNA", at positions 524 to 776 of the family's 1533-position model. The record is from RNAcentral.
UACGUAGGCAGCGAGCGUUGUUCGGAAUUACUGGGCGUAAAGAGUGUGUAGGCGGCGCUCUAAGUUCGGUGUGAAAUCUCUCGGCUUAACUGGGAGGGUGCGCCGGAAACUGGAGUGCUCGAACGUGGGAGAGGAAAGCGGAAUUCCUGGUGUAGCGGUGAAAUGCGUAGAUAUCAGGAGGAACACCUGCGGUGUAGACGGCUUUCUGGACCAUUGUUGACGCUGAGACACGAAAGCGUGGGGAGCGAACAGG